Molecule: ribosomal RNA, 373 nt
Filed under: uncultured prokaryote
Description: bacterial SSU rRNA
Rfam family: Bacterial small subunit ribosomal RNA
Source: RNAcentral
UACGUAGGGGGCGAGCGUUAUCCGGAUUUACUGGGCAUAAAGCGCGCGUAGGUGGUAUCUUAAGUCAGAUGUUAAAUGCCUUGGCUUAACCAAGGUCCGCAUUUGAUACUGAGAUUCUAGAGAUCAGGAGAGGAAAGCGGAACUCACGGUGUAGCGGUGAAAUGCGUAGAUAUCGUGAGGAACACCAGUUGCGAAGGCGGCUUUCUGGACUGAAUCUGACGCUAAGGCGCGAAAGCGUGGGGAGCAAACGGGAUUAGAUACCCCGGUAGUCCACGCUGUAAACGGUGUUCACUAGGUGUGGGAGGUAUCGACCCCUUCCGUGCCACAGAUAAUUCGUUAAGUGAACCGCCUGGGAAGUACGACCGCAAGGUUA